UGACCACGGUCCCAAACAUUAACACCUGUUCUGGCAACCACGCGCAAGGGACAGACAAAUUUAACAACCUGAGGGGUCUGUGAGCCUAGCACCACGGUGGUACGCCUUCGUUCACAAAUCCAAAAUCUGUAUUUGCCCUAAUUCAAUCCCUAUUCAUCGAAAUUCAACGAUUCCCUCCUUUUCAACGCCCCUUUCUUCAUCCAACCAAUCAACCAGAUAGAUCCAUCUUAAACCUCUCGAUUCAAACAAAGAAUUUGAGGGUUUUACCCUUUUUUUCCCCUUUAAUUUUUCGUAAUGGAUUCAAGCAGGCGAGCGGUGGAGUCGUACUGGAGAUCGCGGAUGAUUGAUGGAGCAACCUCGGAUGAAGACAAAGUAACGCCCGUUUAUAAGCUAGAAGAGAUCUGCGAGCUCUUGAGAUCGUCUCAUGUUAGUAUCGUUAAAGAGGUCUCUGAAUUUAUACUGAAACGACUCGAUCAUAAAAGCCCCAUCGUCAAACAAAAGGCUUUGCGGCUAAUAAAAUAUGCUGUGGGAAAGUCUGGUGUGGAGUUUAGGAGAGAAAUGCAGCGGAACUCUGCAGUGGUGCGUGAGUUAUUCCAUUACAGAGGGCAACCGAAUCCUUUGAAGGGGGAUGCACUCAAUAAGGCUGUUCGGGACACAGCUCAUGAGUCUAUUUCUGCUAUAUUUGCAGAGGAGAAUAAUGCUAGUAAGCCUCCUCCUGCAGACGACCUUAACAAACGAAUACAAGGAUUUGGGAACACAAACUUUGAAAUGCCAUCUGAUGAUAAGAAAUCAUUUCUAAGUGAGGUGGUUGGCAUUGGAAGUGCUUCCCUCAAGCAGGGAAUCAGUAGUUUCACUCAGGGCCAUUCACUUAGAAAGAAUGAUAAUGGGAACAACAAAAGCCCUACACUUCGAAGGUCUUUGACUAAAGAAAUUGACCAUUCUGAUAGGUAUGAACCUGUUACAUUGCAUACUGACACUCAAAGGGUUUCCGGUAAUUCUGCUAGUGGACCUUGGGGCCAGGAUUCAAUAGUAUUACAGACUGAAACAACAAAUGGGGAAUCCAACUCAAAUAAUGAGAGUAAAACUCGUGAAGAGAGAUUGUUGGAAACCAUUGUGACAUCUGGCGGCGUUCGUCUCCAACCUACUCGAGAUGCCAUUCAGGCUUUCCUUGUGGAGGCUGCAAAGCUUGAUGCUUUGGCUUUAAGUCAUGCCCUUGAAUCAAAGCUUCUAUCUCCAAUGUGGCAGGUUCGCAUGAAAGCUGUAUGUGUGCUUGAGUCCAUUUUGAGGAAAAAGGAAGAUGAGCAUUUCUUAGUUGUGGCUUCUUACUUUACCGAGAACAAAGAAGUUGUUUUGAGAUGUUCUGAGUCUCCCCAAGCUUCCCUCAGAGAAAAGGCUAACAAGGUAUUAGUCCUUUUGAACGGGGAACAACCUGGUGGUUUGGCAAGUACUUCAGAAAAGUUUUUGAAAGCUGAGACCACACCUGUUCAAAUGCCUGACCUGAUCGACACUGGUGAUCCAGAUGAUUACAAUGGACUAGAUAGUUCCACAAAAGAUCAAAAUGAUCAAAAUACUGCAGUACGGACAGCAACACCCCUUAUUGAUGACUUACUUGGAGAUGGUAUUGGUACUAAUCUCAGCACCAGUGAACUGAAAAAUGAUGAUGAUCCCUUUGCAGAUGUCUCAUUUCACACUACUGAGGGAAGAGAAAAUGUGGAUGAUCUCUUCUCUGGGAUGAGUGUAGAUGACAAGUCAGCUAUGAGUGAUAAUUGUGUGACUGCAAAUGAAAAAUCUGAACUAAUCGAUAUCUUUGGGACCAAUCCUGCAGCUCCAAUUGAGCCCGCAAAUAAAAAAACUGAUAUUAAUGAUUUGAUGGCUGGCUUGUCUAUGAAUGAGAAUCCACCUAGUUUGAAGCAGCAAGGAAUCUUUUCUGAGGCACACCAUGAAGAUAUAUUUGCCGAUGUCAACGCUCAUUCUAGCUAUCAAGCUUCUAAUGAUGCUUUGAGUGGUCUUCUUGGUUCCCAAGCCACUGGGAUGAAUUCAAACACAACGUUUCGUUUAGGGAACAUGCCAUUUGCCAUCCCUCCUGGAUUAAUGUUGAACCCAGCCUUAUCUCAGCCAAUGAAUUAUGGUGCUAUGGGGAGUUUCUUUGCUCAGCAGCAAUUGCUUGCAACAAUGUCCAACUUACAACACUUUGGGAAUCUUAAUGCACAAAAUGCUGGCUUCAAUAAUGUUUCCAGUGGAUCUAAUGGAGGGUCACCUCUCCCAGAUAUAUUCCAGUCAAAUUUUCCAAGUCAAACACCUAGUUCAAUGAUGAACAGUUCAAAGAAAGAGGAUACCAGAGCAUUUGACUUCAUUUCGGACCAUCUUGCAGCUGCUCGUGAUCCAAAGAGGACAGUGUAAGGUUAUUGUGCUUGAAUGGACCUGUCGUAGAAUCUCAAGGGCACUUCAAUGAUGGUCUUGACAUGUUGAUUAAAGAACAAUGUAAACAGCAUCAACAAGCGCAACUUAAAUGGUGAUCCCAUUUUUGUGUCUAGAAAUGAGAAGGAAAACAACAUGAAACUGGGCGAGAAUGAUGAUGCUAGCUUAGUUAAAACAACCGAGCCGAGAGUUGAUGAAACAAUAUUAGGCUUAGUUUGGAUGGGCGGUGUGUUUAGCUCCGGUGAGGUUAAAAACAGCGGUGGCGGUGUGAUUAGUUACUGUAGCGGUGAGAUUGGAUACUGUAGCGGUGAGAUUAGAAACAGCGGUGGAGUGUGUGUUUGGAUUCAAACGCUGCUGUAGCGGUGAGGUGAAAAUAGAAAAUGACCUUCAAGGACAUUAGAUUAAAAAUGAUAUAUAAUAGAAGUUUUUAAAAUUA
RNA transcript from Gossypium raimondii (Peruvian cotton), 2854 nucleotides. It is a transcript of the gene named protein MODIFIED TRANSPORT TO THE VACUOLE 1, with no coding region annotated. Lineage: Eukaryota; Viridiplantae; Streptophyta; Magnoliopsida; Malvales; Malvaceae. The record is from RefSeq and is a predicted model, not a curated record. The transcript is spliced from 6 exons.